GUGGCUGCAUGACCAGUCACCCAGCGGGAGCCUGCUGGGGGACUCUGCAGUCAGCACCAGGCGCACCCAGAUGACCUUUCUGCUCUGCCUUGUCUGGGGCCACACCUGGGGGACGCCAUGCCAGAGGCUGGGGUCAUCGGAAGGCUCAGGGUCUCUCUCCUCAGGCAGCUGACGCUCAGUGCCUCGCCGUGCAGGCCUGUCCUUGCAGGUUCUCCGCAGAGGCUGGCUGGGCUUCCUCACAGCAUGGCUGCUGGCUCCCCAGGGCCAGCAGGCCCCCACAGCACACCAGGUAGCAGCUGUGCUGUCCCUUAAGAUCCAUCUUGGAAGUCACGUAAUGUCACUUUUCCCCAGCAACACACACACACACACACACACACACACACAAACACACACGGUUUUUCUUCAGUGAUCAGGGCUGAAUUUUUGUUGUCUGCAGCCAAGAGUCCUGAGCUCCUCCAGUGCUCGACUGAGCCAGGACUGGACUGGACACUCUGUUUGCAGCACUAACUGAGGCAUGGAAGCCACCGUCCUCCUCUGCCCCUGGCUGGCGAGAGCACCUGGGCCAGCAGCACCCCGGGUGAGCUCUGCCCUGCCCUGGAAGGCCAGGUCAAGGUCAGUUUUUUGUUUGGUUUAAUUUUAAGUAGCCAAAACACUUCCUUCCCACCACGAGGGCAGCAUCCAUUUUGCAGCAUCUGGGAAGUGGCCGGGAUCCAGGGAAGGGCCGGGGAGGGGACCAGCCCUCAGGACUGAAACGUUCCUGGCUGGGUCCGGGACGCAGCACAGCCGCGUGGCCAGGCGCGGUGUCAUGCCAGGCUCUGACACGCCGGGCGGGCACCGUUUCAAUAACCCCGCGAGGGAGGCUCCGUCCCCUAGAACAAAGGAGGAAGCCAUGGCUUUCCGGGUCCUCCGGGAAGUCAGGACGCGGACGUGUGGCUUCUGGCUGCAGAAUCUGAAUUCUUUCAGGCCCAGCUGGAGCCUGGAAGGGCGAUCCUCCAGGCGGAGCCCACAGCCCGGGGCUGUGUGGGGCUGGAUUCCUGGGGCCCAGGGGCAGGGAGCCACUUGGCCUCCGUUGGGCCGAGGUUCGGCUGCUGGUGGAUGGCUGCCGCCCGACUGCCUGCCAGCCUCUCCCUGGCCUGGCUGGGAGACGCGGUGACUCACACUCCCCACUCUGCUGAGCACCCUCCCUGUGCCUGGGGCGCAGGCUGCCGGAGCCCUGUGUAACCAAAGUCAGCAGCGCAUGGCCCGAGGGCAGGAUCUGGAAAGGAGAGUGAGACGCUCCAGUUGUGAGGACCUGGUCCCUUUGCACAGAGGACCCUGGUGGCCUGAGCCUGUCCAGAGCACCCCACAACCAGAGGUCUGAGUGCCUCCGUGAGGGGGAGACACUGGUCCCAGACACCCCCCCCAGGCUGGCGUUAGCUCUUGCCCCACCCCUGUCCCCUGCAGCCCUCCCAGGGUCUGGCGGUCACCUUUCUAUCCUGUGAGCCCUCAAAUCUGUUCAGCCAGCCCCGCCUCUGCCCCGUCAUGGUCACCAGAGCCUUCGCUCUUGUUGGCCACUCCAAAGCCCUAGCUGCGCAGUGGCUGAGGCCUGCGCUGUGACGCCCCACCCCUGUCUGCUGCCACUUCACGGCGGCCUUCCAAGGCGGGCAGUGUCGCUAGCCGUCCAGCCUGCUGUGGAAGGGUUCGCCCCGUCGUGGUGGCCGGAGCCACCCCUGAGCCAGCACCAGCCCCUGGCAGGGACCCAGCACGGGAAGCGGUGCUCAGGGUCACACUGUGCCGCUGGAGGAGGAGCUGGGGGUGUGUGUGGCCACGGUGUCAGAGCUGCCGGGGUGCCAGGCAGGAUGCAGGGCGGUGGGCGUGACAGCGCCCGCCCUCGCCUCCCUGCCAGAGUGGCAGGCAGCCCCUUCUUUUUGCUGCAGCCAUGUCGCCUGUCCUCCCCUCAGGAGUGCUGACCUGCAGGGCCCACCACCUGCAGCCGCCUGAAAUGCAGGGGAAAGGACGAGGCACCCUCUUGUGCCUCCGCGGAGCACGGGAUUUGUGGGAAAUCUGUCCCUGGCGCUAGGAAGGCCUCUCCCGGUGCCUUCUGCUCCGUGUCGGAGGGGACAGCCGGCUAAAGCUUCCACUCUGCAGCCCUGCUCAGCGGGCCUCGGUGCUGGACAUCAUGAUGCCCGCGGGGCCUCCCUCCCCUCCCCAGACUGAGCUGAGAAGGCACCCUCCCUGGACCGCAGGUUCAGCCUGAAACCAGAAGGAGGGAGGCUGGCCGUGGUCUUGACCAAGGCCCCCCGUCCCUCCUGCGACUGAGUCCAGGAUCCCAGCGACCGUGCUUCCUGCCAGGCCAAGCGGGCAGCGGUCAGUGGUGAAGAACUGGGAGGAGCCGAAGAGUCCCAGCUCCAGACCUCAGGGUGACGGUGGCACUGGGCAGCCCAGGUGGCCUCUGCAGACAUCUCCAGGGACCUACCCCUGGUCCCCUAGGCUGGUACCUGGGACCGUGCAGCCCUGGUUCAGGGGAAGGAGACCAGAUGCCUCUUUCGACAUUGGUUCUAAAACACGUUCCUGUUUCAGAAACACUGGAAAAUUAUACACCGUGGCCAAGUGUGGGGCUCAGAGGGGACGUUCUGGACGCAGGUUUCAGCUGGAGGGAAGUGGGCUAAGAGAAAAGGCGCCACUCUCCCCAGAAGGGGCCCAGGGCGGGUGCUCGGGCACAGGGAGGGACAGCCAGGAACCCCGGGAAGGCCACAGUGCGGGCACGGGUCCUGGGGUUCUGAGCACCUCGGGUUUUCUUCUUGGUGUUGUUCUGCUUCUGAUUUCCUGAGGUUGUACCCGGACAACUAACAAACAGGAGCUGCCAGCAUCUUCCCACAUCGGCACUUCACACUUUGAGCCUCCCAAGAGCCUACUGGGACAGGAAUGCUGGGGAUCGCUAUUUGCAGAUUAGAAGUCUGAGGCUCAGAGAGAUGGACCAAUUUUCCCAGGGCCACACAGCUAUCUCUGGUGCAGCUGGGAUCAAACCCUUCAUUCUGACCCCAGAACAGAGGUCCCAGCCGCCCCGUGACAGUCGACACCCGAGGGGCUGAUUUUUAAGACCACAGGUGAGUUUAACUCAAAGGAGCAAGAGAGCAACCAAGGGAGGCGCUGCUGUUGGUUGUGUUGACCACAGCGCCUGCCCCAGCCCUCACCCCACCCCAGAGACCUAGGGCUGGAGGCAGGACCUCCGGGGAGUCCCGAAGAAGCACCGUGUCUCGUGACCUGAGCACCAUGACGGGGCUGGGAAGGCCAGUGGGGAGUGCUGGGCCACCAGCCCUGCCCCCAGGUGUGCCAGGGUGGUGCUCGGCCCCCGGAGGCCUGGGAGGAGCGCCAAGGCCAGGCACCUGGUGCUGCGCGGGGCUGGGUGCCUGGCCUUGGGGCUGGGUCUUGUUUUGUCAGCGUCCUCGGAGGUCACCCUGCAGCAUGCCUCUCGGCUGGGAAGCCACGGGAGCUGGGAGCCCCCCACACACAGGGAGGGCAGGGCCACCUCCUGGGGCCGAGCUGACCCUCUCUCUCCAGGAGACCCCAAGAAACCACCCCAAAUAAACCAAGAGGCUGCUGGGACACUGAAGCGGGAGCUCAGGGCAGCCCGGGCCCCGGGGAGGAGUCAUGGUCCGGGGCACAGCUACCCCAGCAGACUCCUCGAGGCCGGGUACUGCACACCCCACCUGUGCAUCGGCAGGACUGUCCCCAAGGCACAUAUCGGGGAGGCUGAGGCUCGGAAGCGGGUGUCUCGGCCCAGGCAAGAACCCUGUCCAAGAUGGGGUCACACCGUGGCUCCUGUGAACUCCCAAGCCUCGGAGGAACCCUUCAGGAUCUGAUAAAAGUACAGACUUCCCUGUAAAGACAUGGUCCCUGGCAUUUAUGGGUGGAACGUACGGAAACUCAGGGAGUCCCUGUCACCAGACGCUCAGAAGAGCCCCUGCCUGGGGCUGUCCAGUCCUCGGGACCAACACUCCCCACAGGGUUGGGAGGCCCGGCUGCGCCCACGGCCUGGCUGCUGGAAGCUCCUUCGCCAACUCAACCGUGCAGGACCCGUGCUCUGGGGAGGAUGGAACCCUUCUGGUUCUAGUGCACCUGCCAGCAGCCCCCUCCUGUUACAGAGGCGGUCCCCCAUCUCUGCACCGUGGCAGUCCCUUCCUGCACUCCUCGAUGGCGGGAAACACUGAGCACCCAGCACGUGCAGUGCUCCUGCCUGUAAUUUCAACCUCACGAUGGUGCGGAAGACACCAUUCUAUUCUGAAUUUCCUUUCCCUGGGCCAGGCUGUCUUUUGUCCCCGGGCAGCAGCAGGGAGCCCAGCCUGCCUCAGCUCUGUCACCUGGAGGCUGACAGCCUGUCCACACUCUCUGGUGGACAGUGGUGCUCAUUAAAUGCACUUUCUGCUUAGGGUGCCUUCCACGUGGGAUGGGUUUGCCCGUGUGCCCAGCGUGUCUGUGUUGCCAUCAGACACUGGCUUCCCCCCCAGCUAGCAGCCCCCCCCCAGCUAGCAGCCGUGGAUCCUCAGGCUGCCUCUCCAGAACGUUUUGAUCAUGGACCCUCAGAAACUUCCGGAGGACUGCAGGUGAAAUGCCGCGAUUUCAUUCUCCUUAUGGCUGAGGACACGCCACUGUGUAUGACCCCGUUCUCUCUGUCCACUCACCCAGUGAGGACACCUCGGCUGGGGCCGCAGCUCGGCUACUGCCCUCUGUGCUGCUGGGACCCAGGACUUGCUGGGUGACUGGUGAGCAGUGGCCAUCCACAGCACAGCCAAGCCUGGGGCAACAGGGCUCCCUGCUGCCCUUUGAGUCCCUGGGCACCGGCUAGUGCCCCGUGUUAAGUCCUCUCUGCCAAGUCGGCCACUGUGUUUUCUGGUUCCUGCCUGGACUGUCCAUGUAGAGAGAGCCAGCGUCCACCCAGAGGCAGGGCAGGCUUGCUCUGAGCCCACUGUUGCAGGCGGAAGGUGUCCCCGGAGAUGUCCCCGUCCUACUUCGCAGAAUCUGUGGACGUGACCCUCACUUGGUAAAGGGGACACGGCUGGUGUAAUCAAAUUAAGGAUCUUCAGGUGAGGGGACUGUCCUGGCUGUCUAGGCCUGCCCGAUCAAAGCACAGGAGUCCUUAAAAGAGGGACACAGUCCAGUGGAGGCAGGGCUGAGCAUGUGCAUCGGACGCUGGGUGGACUCUGGCUCUCUGAACAUGACAGUCCAGGCAGGAACCAGAAAACACACUGGACCCAGGAGCCAGGAGCCAGGAGUGCAGGUGGAAACACAGGACCCAGCCUGUCCUCCCCUCCGGAGCUCCAGGGAGAGCUGCCCUGCCCACACCUUGGUUUUCAGUUCGUGGAAAUCACUCGGGACCCUUGACCUCCAAGAGGUAGAGAGUUUGUGCUGUUUAAACCACGAAGGCUUACGCAUUUGUUAUGGUGACAGUAAGGACCCGUACACCCAGCCGGGGGACACGUAAGUCCCUCCGACUUUCAUUUCCAGUCCUGGACAAGUGGGAGCGCUCAGAGGACUUCAGAGCCGCUCCCGUGGGGAUCACAAGUCGCGCUGCAGAGGACACGCAGGCGCCAGGCUGUGGGAGAGCCAGGUCACCACUCCAGGCCGACGCAGGCCACACGCCAAGGCGUGAGAAGUGGGCAGAGAUGGCCAAACCCAAGAGCUUCACCAAGGAGCCUGGACUUGGCCCCGUUGUCCUGGCCCAAGUCCAGGGGUAAUGACAGUGGAGUCCCCCUCUCUGGAGCCAGCUGUGCGUCAGGUGCUCCGAGUACCUCCUGGUCCUCGAGGUGCCCAGCCGUGUGGUCCCAUUCCACAGAACAGGGCGAGCCAGGCAGGAGAGCACCAGUGGCACCCGGUCUCACAGACGGGGGACGCGGACACAGGUCUCCAGGGCCCUGGGCUUUCCUCGCUGCCCCUUACUCACGGCCUCAAGCCCCUGCUGGAGAGGGACAGCGUGUUCUGGCACACCCUCCUCAGACCCAGGCUGGGCGGUGCCAAGGCCAUGGUGAGAGGACAGUGCUGCCCCUGGCGACGCGCCUGGUCCUUGGGUGUCCUUGUCCUGGGCCAGCUGUGGUCAGUUUGCAGCCUGCCCCAAACUUCCUCCGAUGAUGCUGGGCCAUGCUGGCUCCUCGCUCCCUCGGCCUCACACCGCGGAUGAAGGGGAGAGGCGCCAGGAGAGGCUGCCCGACCCGCUACCCACUGGCCACCUUUCAUCUGCUGGGCGUGGCGGGCAGACCACGGUGCUGGAACAAGCUGGAGGCCCUGGGCCACUGUCGGCCCUGCCUGGAAGGAGUGAUGGGGCCCUCAGCACCGCAUGGCAAGUGGCCAUAGAGCAGCACCCCUGCGGGGCUGGUGGCAGGGAGGGGUGACCUGUGUGUCAGCCCUGCCCUGUCUGCUGCGGGGGGACCCAGAGGACAGGGAUUUGGGGUCAGAAACCUGACACUGUCGCUUCCCUCAUGCCACAGUGCCCUCGCUUGUGGGCAGGACCUCGGCCUGUGGGCACCCAGCCCCUUGCACAGCCACAGCCUUCAGGAGAGGCUGGCUCAGGUAGCCUGAGGGGUCAGGGGUGGUCCAACGGCCCUGCUCCUCUAGUCCGUGGUGGGCUUAAGCAUACCCAGGUGACAUAAUCCAGCCAGUGACACAUGAGGGCUUCUGAAGAGGGGGCUCGGGGAGAGUCGCCUCUCAAAAUUGAUGCCCAAGAGAGACAGGCUUUCCGCUGCUGCUGGAAGUUGGGUGAGACCUGGAAGACCCUGGUCACUUGAGAGCACGAGGAGGCCGGCAGGGCUGAGGCGGCACCCCGAGGAGGCAGCACAGCAGGACGGGCAGAGCGCGCUCUGCGGCGGCGUCCUGGAUGAGCUCCGACUCAGGACCUCCUGGGAACGGGUUCCUUGUCGUCUGGUCUGAGCCUUGGAGUUGGACUACCUGCCAUGUGGCCAGAAGCAUCCUCUAAGUCCUAGACGCCCACCAAACUGCUGGGGCUCCGGGGUUCCCCUUUGAGAAGCAAGCACAGCAAACCAUGGCGUCUCCGGUGACCUUGGUGCGCACACUGCAUGCUCUGCCUGGGGGCCUGAGCUCUGUGCAGGGGCACGAUGUCCUGCAGGUCUCGGCCACAGCCCGGUCAGCCUUAUGAGCACUCUGCAGCUGACCCAGGUGAGCAUGACCCUGCUCUGUCAGUCACCCAUGCUGCAAAGCACUGGACUGAAGACUCUGAGCCUCACGCCUGUGCAGGUGGGCUACAGGUCAGGCGAGCCCGUCUGGAGGCCCGACUCCUCCAGCUGAGACCUGCCAGACGUCCUGUUCAGGCUGGGCUCUGCUGGGACGGCUCUGCUCUGCAUGUCUCCUCCUCCUCUUGGGGCCAGUGGAGAGCGGGGCAGGUUCCCUGAGGUGAUGGCCGAGGCACAGAGCUCUAGGAUGGCACAGACCAUCAGCUCCGGCCCACUCUCUUUCCUCUUCCUUGCAGCCGUGGAUGGCCACUGAUUAGUGUUGGCAAAUUAGAUCACAGUGGGAAUCUGUAGAGGGCUCAGGGGGAAGGAAAGAAUUUGCCUUUCCUUGUAUGAGGAGCAACCACUAGUAUUAUUCCAUUCUCCCCUAUUCCUACACUGAAUGCACAGUGUGAUGUCUGAAGCUGUAGCCACCAUAUUGCUCCUGUAAGGUAAAGUCAAGAGACUCACGCACAGUUUUCCUGUUGCUGGAGGAGCAACGUGUCUCUGGAUUUCUUGACCUGUGAGGAAAAAUAAACCCUAUAUGUUUAUGUUACUGUUAAUUGCAGCCAAGAACUUUUCUCACUAAAACCCUGAAGCAACUUAUCAGCAUAAUUCUGUAUCUGCCCUAAGUGGAUUAUCAGAAUUGAUGAGAAAGUAAGAUACUGCAUUUCAAUUCAGGUCUCAUGGAUCACUCAAUAUGUGCUGUUCACCUUCCAUGUACUGGUCACCAACAGCCAGCACCCCUGCCCUGCCCUCUGAGAGCCUCUCCUAGCAGAUGCAAGAUGUUACCAGAACGGCAGCACAGAGUAUCUUUGUCAAACACACACUUGAUCCCAAACUGAAACGUUGAGGAUCACAUCAAUGAUUUUCUGCACCAGCAGCCAGUUCCCAGAACAGGCCAAGGAAUGGGCUAGCUGGAUGGCCCUGACAGUCCCUUCUCUUUUUAAAUUUGCUGUUUCAUUUACUAACUAAAGAGUUGACCCUGAUGACUACUAAAUUAUCUUCCAGGUCAAGGCUUCCCUAUCCUGGGAUAAUUGCCAUGGGAUAAGGAAAUAUUAACAACAUUUUGGAAAAACUCCACUUUGCAAGCAUUGGGGUAAAAGCAUAGUUUUACGUGACAAGUCAAAAUCAGGAGAGGAGUGCUGCAGAAGUUAACGGAACACCCUGAUCCUUCUUGCUUGGGGGAAGCGUUGCAGAGUGGGAUUGGCAAUUGUUUAAUAAGCUCCAACUGAUGCUGCACACGGCAUCUCUCGAGCAGGAAUCCAGGUGACAGCACCCCACUGGCCUGCACUUGAAGAGCGUGGAAUUCACCAGGCCCCGUGUGUGUGCACUGGGCUGGCCUUCUGUGGGGACACACCACUGUGACUUUAUGAUGUUUUACAGCCAGUGACGGUCCCAAUGGCCCCCGCAGGAGCCCUGGGAAAUGCCACCUUACAGGAAAGCACGUGGGCAGGGGGCAGAGAGCUGAAGGUGUGCAGGGCACACAGAGCCAUUCGGGGCAGUGGGCGAGGAGAUGUCAGGGCAGCAGCCCUCCCAAGGACUUGAGCUGAGGCCAGACGCGUCUCACACAGACAUCCACACAGGUGUCCCAGAGCCACGAUGGCACGAGGGUCAGUGGGUGCAGGGGACACCGACUGUGUAAUGGGGCGCUCUAGCUCUCUGCGCUGGGCAGUGGGCUCUCCCAGGCUCACUUCCUCCGCUGUGGAAGGGUAAGGGGAGGUUCUACUUGCAGAUGGCAGCAGGGACUACUGCAGUGUGGCUGGAGGGGCCUGCAGCUGGCAGAGGCUCUGGCCCCAGCGCCAGAUUCACCUGCAUGGCCAGCGGCCAUACGCUUGCCGACCCGCGCCAGGGGCCAGGAGCCCUUGGUCUGAGGUCCAGCCCAUCAAUAUCCAGGAGCCUUCCCCACGGGCCAUCGCCUUCUGCGCGGUGACGACAAUGAUCUAUUGAUUUCAAAGCAUGUCACCGGGGUGAAAUGAGGCGUGAAAGGACGUUGUGCCCUGCGCUUCCACACUUCCUGCUCUCGGUGCCAAAAAAACGCGCCCAGGCCCCGCUGGGCAAAAGGAGCAGCCAGGGGCCACCUCCAGCCCAGCCUCGCCGCUUGCUGUCCGUCCUCUGCCAGGGACUCCUGGCUCCACGCCCCGUGCUGUCACCCGCCCAUGAGGAUGAGACCCUCCUUUGUCACUGGGGCGCACUCCCCAGAGGAGCGAGACCCCGCGAGCUCAGACUGCCCCGAUGUGUGCGACCCACCCGGCAGCGGGGGACCGGUGACGCGUCCUCUCCGGAGAGUGGAGCCAACUCAGGGGGCGGGUCCGCACGCACUCGAGGUGGGAGGUGCCUGCUGGGCAUCGCGAGAGCGUCGCAGGCGCGGGGACUGCCUCCCCCUCACACGGGCUGCGUGAGGGCCCGGUGCGGAGUCCCUGCUGCCCAGGGCAGGGCAUCAACGGGCAGUCAGGCCCUCUGCCCUGCUCUCCAGCCCUCUGCGAGGCGGGUACUUCUUAUCUCCUCUCCACACAGCAAGGCUCAGGGGCCGAGGUCCUGGGCCUGGGGGAUUUGGAGGCAGCCAGUGAAUCUGCACGUGUCUCCUCUGGACACUUCCAGCAAGGCCUGUGGCUUCGCGGGAGGGCAUACCGCUCUGAGACGUGAUACUACUCUGACCCCUGCAAGCCAGCAGAGGGGGCAGAUGCAGUUCAGCCUGGAUGCGCAUCCCGAGGUCAGUAGGCCGUGGUUUACACAAACAACCAGACUCCAAGCUGUCCUCCAGCCAUGAUGUAGAGUCACUGACACAGAAGGACAUUUGAGAAUUCACAAAUACGGAGCACUGUCUUACUUUCAUAGAGUAACCCGGAUUCUUACCAUUUUUUUUUUUUUGGUAAAAGUAUGUACACAUAAAUAUAUAAUUGUCUAGAAGAACAUUUUUACGUUGGUGGUGACUGA
Molecule: non-coding RNA, 10133 nt
Organism: Ictidomys tridecemlineatus (thirteen-lined ground squirrel)
Lineage: Eukaryota; Metazoa; Chordata; Mammalia; Rodentia; Sciuridae
Source: RefSeq, a predicted model, not a curated record